UUUAAGAUAUAUGUGGUACAGGAUUAGAUACCCCAUUAAUAUAAUUUUAAAAUUUUCUUAGUUUUUUAACUAAAAUAGUUUGGCAGCGAGCGAAUCCUAUUAGGGGAAGGUGUGUUAUAAAGGAUGAUCCGCCUAUUAAUUUACUUUUAUUAUGUUGGUGUAUAUCUGGUUUGAUAUUAUUGCUUAAUAGCUUAAUUUGUGUAUUUAUAAUUAUUUAAGCCAAGUCUAUGUGCUGCUUGUAAAAGUUUUCAUGCGUUACGUUAAUAAGUUUGGUUGUGUAAGUGGCUUAAAAAUUUAGGACUUAAAAGUAAUAUAGUAUCAGUUUGUCUGUAUGAAAAGGGUUUAGCUUGGGUACACACCGCCCGUCACCCUCGGUAA
This 378-nucleotide ribosomal RNA is filed under the name Mesocestoides melesi. RNAcentral's name for it is "partial small subunit ribosomal RNA". The record is from RNAcentral. Lineage: Eukaryota; Metazoa; Platyhelminthes; Cestoda; Cyclophyllidea; Mesocestoididae.